Molecule: long non-coding RNA, 4239 nt
Organism: Pantherophis guttatus
Lineage: Eukaryota; Metazoa; Chordata; Lepidosauria; Squamata; Colubridae
Source: RefSeq, a predicted model, not a curated record
GUCAAAAGUGCGAGGCCCAGUCAGAAAUGACUUUUUUCAGCCCUCUGAGUAGUCCCUAUGCACAUAGCCACGCCCACCCGGUCACAUGACGAGCUAGCCACGCCUACACAGUCACGUGACCAGCUAGCCACGCCCACCCAGUCACAUGGUUGCCAAGCCACACCCCCAACUAAGCCACGCCCACAGAACCUGUUGUUAAAAAAAUUGAAUCCCACCACUGAUCUCAACCACUUUUUUUUAUAUUGUGGUGACAAAAAUUGGGUGCAAUAUUUCAAAUAUGGUCUUACCAAGACAUUAUAAAGCAGUACCAACACUUCACAUAAUCUUAAUUCUAUCUGUUAAGCCAGCAAUGCUUUUUUGGCACUGCUGGCUCAUAUUUAAAUGAUUGUCCAUUAGGACUCCAAGAUUCCUCUUGCAAGUUACUACUAUUGAGCCAGUUUCCACCUAUUCCAUACCUGUAUAUUGCCUAAGUGUAAAACCUUAUUUUUCUCACUAUUGAAUUUCAUUUUAUUAGAUAGCACCCAUUAUUUAACUCUGUCAAGGUCCUUCUGGAUCUUGGGCCUAUCUUCUAGGGCGUUAGCUAUUUCUCCCAGUUCAGUGUCAUUUGUAAAUUUGAUGAGUUUCCCUUCUAUUCCCUCAUCUAAAUUGUUUCUAAAUCUGUUCCCUCAUCUUUUAUGAACAGAAUCUUGGGGUACCCUACUGCUUCCUUCCUUCCAUGUAGAUGUAGUUCCUUUAAGGACUACACGUUGGUUUGUCAACCAAUGCCUAUUCCACAUUUUUCUAAUUUACCAAGAAGUAGGCUGUGGUCUACUUUGUCAAAUACUUUUCUGAAAUCCAAGUAUACUAUAUAACUUGGCAGGUUAGAUCUAGCCAUUAUGGUGACAGUUGUAAAAUUUUUGGUGUAAAAAAAUUCACUUGAUCUGGGACAUCUCUACAAUUAUUUUGCAUUGCUGAGAAAAGCAAUUGAGAAAGGGUGGUAGCCCAUGUCAUCAGACAUAUUUGAAUGAUACUGAUUUUUUACAAUCUAUUUCAGUUGGUCUUUCAGGAUACGUUGCUCAAAUUUCUUUUUUAUCAACUUGUUGCAUGACAUGUGAUAGAAAUUAGAAAAGUAAAGUGCAGCUUUCACCUAGUUUCCUCAGAACUGCCUGGUAGCAUUAGGCCUUAGGGGUCUUGUUUCACAAUAAUUAUGGUGCUUUCUGUUGGGUAUGUCCAGAAGAUGGUGCUAUGAGAUUAAUGUUUAACAUAUUGGCAUCGCUGACCUAUAGUUCGUGUUGUCCCCCAUGCUGUUUAACACCUAUAUGAAAUUACUGAGCAAGUCAUUCAAAUAAUAUCCCAUUUUGGAGUGGGAUAUUAUCAAUUUGCUACUAAAACCUGGCUGCCAAAAAUCCCAAUAAAAUCAAGAUCACAAGAAGUGGUAGUACUACUUUAUAUGGCUUUAAUGAGGUCACACUUGUAAUAUUGUGUCUGGUUCUGGUUACUAUGAUACCAAAAAAAAAAAAAAAGAUGUUCACACCCUAGAAGGAGUGCAGUGCAUAAAACAGCAACUAAGGUGAUAAAGAGGUCUGGAGGCUAAACCAUAUAUGUAUAUGUCUAGCUUAUCAAACAGUAAAACAGUGACCUGAUAGGUGUCUUUUAACAUUUGAGGGGCUUUCAUAAAGAAGAGGGGUAAACUUCUUCUCCAAAGUCCUUGAGGGCAGGACAAAACUUGAUAAGUGGAAACUAAAGAGAUCCAACCUAGAACCAAGGAGAAAUUUCCUGACAAUGAGCACAAUUAAUCAAGAGAAGAGCUUGCCUCCCAAAGUUGUGGCUGCUCCAAUGCUGGAAGUUUUCAAGAGCAGACAGGACAACCAUUUUACUGUGGUGCUAUUCAGUCUCCUGGUACUGAGCAGGGGUUUGAACUAGAAGAUCUCCAAGGUCCCUUCCAGUCCUAUGAUUCGAUUGUAUGAUUUACUGCUCCUAACUAUCCAAUUCCAAGGAAGCAAUCAGUACUUUUGAAUGUUUCCUAAAUUCAGUAAUGAAAGAAGAAAGAAAGAAACAUAGUAUAAACUGUCAAUGGAAAUGUUUUACCAUUGCCUUUUUCCUAGGGCUGAGAGGGAGGGAGUAACACAUCAGGUGGCCUUGUACCUAAAAUGGGACUAGAACUCACAAUAUCCCAGUUAUAGUAGAAUUACAGACAAUCCUCAAUUUAUAACAGUUCAUUUAGUGACUGUUAGAAAUUACAACGUACUUUGAGCACUGAAAAGAGUGAUUUAUGACCAUUUUUCACACUUAUGACCAUUGCAACAUCUCCAUGAUCACAUGAUCAAAUUCAAAGACUUGGCAACUGACUCAUAUUUAUGAUGGUAGAAGUGUCCAAGGGUCAUGCAACCUCCUGACAAGCAAAGUUAAUGGGGAAGCCAGAUUCACUUAACAACUGUGUUACUAACUUAACAAAUGCAGUGAUUCACUUAACAACUGUAGUAAGAAAUGUCAUAAAAUGGAGCAAAAUUCACUUAACUGUCUCACUUAGCAACAUAAAUUUUGAGCGCAGUUGUCAUAAGUUGAGGACUACCUGUAUUUUAUGCUUUUUUUUACAACUUAGUGAUAAAUAGAUUAUGCCUUUUUUCUGUUCCUGUUGGCUCAAGAUGGCCAAUAAAAUCCACCAUUUUCAAGCAUACUAUCUCUGUGGAUUUAUCAUUUUAUUCCUAAUGCUUCUCAUCUGCUACCCAGUAAAGGUCACACAAAUAUUAAUGCAAUUCUGAAGCAAGAGGACCAAAAAGCUUAGCUUUCAACAUAACUAGUGCUCAUGAAAAUUGCAAAAAACCAGUGGCCUGUAUCUUUUCAGAGAAUGAUUUCAUAAUGAAUAUACCAAGUGAAAGAAAAAUGUCUCAUGGAUAAACAACACACAGAAAACCAAUGGAUGAGUAAAAUGAGAUAGUGUAAAGAGGAGCUGGUAUUCCUCGUUCUUGUGUUAUAAAAUGAAUUGGAAGUAAAUAAUGUUUAAAAGGGGUAGAAACACAUGAAUGUAAGUUUAAAUCUAUUUCUUUUGAAUCUGGAUAGUUCUUUUUCCAAAACAGAACUAAAUAGUUCUUUUUUCCAGAAAAGAAAUUAUCAGAAGCAGAAGCAGUUCUAAAGAGGUAAGAAGAUGGAGUAUCCAUCUUACAGUAAGUUCAGAAUAAGCGAAGUACCAACUGCUAGAAGAAAUGGAUUCAGUUUGGUGAGCAGGGAUGGAGAAGAUUCCUGUGGCUUACAGCUUAUAGCCACAGGUGCAAAGAGUGGCUUCUCUAACAAGGGACAUUACUCUAUUGGAACAGACUCAGUUUAGAGGAGGAAGAGGGGCUCAGCUAGCACCAUUAGUACCAGCAAUGUCAGAGGAAGAGGAAAAAAUCUCCACAUUUGAAACCUAAUUUAGCCUUUAUCCUGACGGAGAGAAAGUCCAACCUUCUUGUCAUUACAGGCUCUCUAAGGUUGGCCUUGUUCAAGCACUCUGGUCAGCAAUGUAUUUGAUGUCACAAAGCAAAGACUCUGACACCACUAGCAUUGUCUCCCUCUAUCUGUCUGUCUUAUAACUCCAGUGGUUUCUCCAGUACUACUUAUGAGCCAGAGUGGCACAGUGGCUAGACUGCAGUAUUGCAGGAUAUUUCUGCUGAUUGUCAACUGCCUGCAAUUUGGCAGUUCAAAUCUCAUCAAGUUUAAGGUUGACUCAGCCUUCCAUCCUUCCAAGAUCUGCAGCUGCUGGCUCUGGUUGCUUAGCCAACACUCCUGAGUCCUGCAGUCCAUUUUUUACCAUAUAUCCAGGAACUCCAACAUCUAAUAUGGACCUUGUUAACCCAGGUGACAUCUGAACUGGACAUGUAGUAAAUUAUGGUGUAACUGAAUGAAGAUUUUUGUGGUCAGCUGGAGGAAGAGAACUGAUUUAUUCAUGAUGUUCCUUGUGAUAUACUCAUUCUAAGUGUGCUUGAUGUGGUUGGUUUGAAGGAUGCCCAGAUAUUUGCAGUGAUCAUCUUCAUCCAGACUCUUGAUGUUACAGGAAAGGAAAAAACUUUUCCUAAGAGAUAAAAGAAGACACUCACUACAACAGUUCACUCUACUGGAGGUCCACUCCCUAAAGAAAAAGAUGGUAAGAAAGCUUGAGGUGUGCCAGAGUUUCAGAAGAUUCCUUAAUAGAUUGGCCAAUAUGAAGCCAAUGAUGCCAACAGAAGUUGGCAGCACCAGCUAGGAAAUCACCUUUAAUCAAAUGUUUGUAUUUUUCUUACUGGA